This is a non-coding RNA of Puma concolor (puma), 486 nucleotides long. The record is from RefSeq and is a predicted model, not a curated record. Lineage: Eukaryota; Metazoa; Chordata; Mammalia; Carnivora; Felidae.
CAGGAGCUUCUGGAAGAGGUGAGGAAGGAACUGCAGAAAGUGAAAGAGGAAAUCAUUGAAGCAUUUGUCCAGGAGCUGAGGAAGCGGGGUUCCCCCUGACCACAGGGCUCCCGAAAAUCCCGUAUGUCCUUUCUGCACACCCCGCCUGUCACCCUGCUUUCCCUGCCUCAACUUGACUUGGAAUUGGCUGAAGACUACACAGGAAUGCGUCGUCCCCGCUCCCCAUCCUACUUGGAAAAUUCCAAGGGGGUGUGGCUUCCUUGGCAACGUGCCCACACCCAUACUGGCUGCUGAUUGGCUGGGGAGGCCCCCACCCUUUGCUCCCUUUGGUCCUUCCCCUCUCCUUGGGGCUGGUUCCUCCGCUGGGGAUGUACCAAUGAACCCCACAGUAAGGGGGGAGGAAGGAGGGAAUCUCACAUUCCCUUGUUCUAGAUUCACUUUAACGCUUAAUGCCUUCGAAUUUUUGUUUUUUUAAGAAAAAAAAAA